Molecule: long non-coding RNA, 693 nt
Organism: Dermacentor andersoni
Lineage: Eukaryota; Metazoa; Arthropoda; Arachnida; Ixodida; Ixodidae
Source: RefSeq, a predicted model, not a curated record
GCUGCUUAGUCAAUGAGGGCCGCCGUGACUGGAAAAGAAGCAAAGGAAAAGAAUUAUGCGGAUUCCGCGCACUGUGGGAAUCGAUAUUCGAAGGAGGAGUGGCCAGCAGUGGACGCUGCUCCAUCACUGUCUGGGGAGCCACAUCACAGGACGUAUUCAGGCCCUUGGCGCAUCUAGAAGGCAGGUUCAACGCUACCGCGUACAGAGAUAUCCUAGACACUACCGUGCUUCUCCACGUCUUGGACGAGCGCUUUCCGGACAGCUUCUUUUACUACCAGCAAGACAGGAGCCAUGUUCAUAUGGCAACGUCAGUGGCUAGGUUUUUUUUUUAUCAAUGAGGCAUUAUGGCGCUGGAGUGGCCAUCACACAUGCCGACAUGAAUGUAAAGAAAAAUGUCUUCGGUGCCAUAAAGUGGCCCAUGUGUUGUCCACCGCUCCAUGGAGCCCCUGCCGUAGAACCGUAGAAGCCAAGUGGAAUCGUCUGGCGCAUACCGACCUCGCCAUCCGUCCGUUAAACAGCCUGCUCCGCUGUGUGGCGGCCAUCGUGGCUGCUCGAGGCAGCAUGACCAAGUGCUAGUCCAAUACGAGGCCAUAUCCAAGUGAGCAGAUCUAGCGUGCAUAAAGCCAUGAGGGAUGGAAGCCUUCUAUUUCGGGCCACCAUUUUUAAGAAUAAAAGUCGUAUUUAUUCCUUCUA